GCUCUGAAAUGCAAUGGAUAGCACUUUGGACUUCUAAUCCAAAGGUUGUGGGUUCGAAUUCCACCUAGAUGGCA
RNAcentral lists this transfer RNA (74 nucleotides) under Trichonephila inaurata madagascariensis. Its description in RNAcentral is "tRNA-Arg". The stretch from base 6 to 65 matches the Rfam family "tRNA", at positions 7 to 64 of the family's 71-position model. Rfam says of the family: Transfer RNA (tRNA) molecules are approximately 80 nucleotides in length. Lineage: Eukaryota; Metazoa; Arthropoda; Arachnida; Araneae; Nephilidae. The record is from RNAcentral.